RNAcentral lists this ribosomal RNA (120 nucleotides) under Exserohilum turcica Et28A. The record is from RNAcentral. Lineage: Eukaryota; Fungi; Ascomycota; Dothideomycetes; Pleosporales; Pleosporaceae.
ACAUACGACCAUCGGCAGAGAGAUUUUCCGGAUCCCGUCCGUACUCCAGCAGACAAACCUCUGACCGGCGGCGUAGUAGGCAGGUGGGUGACCACUGGCGAAUGUCCGCUGUUGUAUGUU